This 400-nucleotide ribosomal RNA is filed under the name uncultured bacterium. Its description in RNAcentral is "bacterial SSU rRNA". It matches the Rfam family "Bacterial small subunit ribosomal RNA", at positions 355 to 752 of the family's 1533-position model. The record is from RNAcentral.
UGAGGAAUAUUGGACAAUGGGUGGAAGCCUGAUCCAGCCAUCCCGCGUGCAGGAAGACGGCCCUAUGGGUUGUAAACUGCUUUUAUCUGGGGAUAAACCUACUUACGUGUAAGUAGCUGAAGGUACCAGAAGAAUAAGCACCGGCUAACUCCGUGCCAGCAGCCGCGGUAAUACGGAGGGUGCAAGCGUUAUCCGGAUUUAUUGGGUUUAAAGGGUCCGUAGGCGGACUGAUAAGUCAGUGGUGAAAUCCGACAGCUUAACUGUCGAACUGCCAUUGAUACUGUUAGUCUUGAGUAAGGUUGAAGUGGCUGGAAUAAGUAGUGUAGCGGUGAAAUGCAUAGAUAUUACUUAGAACACCAAUUGCGAAGGCAGGUCACUAAGUCUUAACUGACGCUGAUGG